AUCGCGUAUCGCCCGUGUGUGCUCGCAUAAGAAGUACUCACCGGGAGAAAUGCGAUGU
This 58-nucleotide microRNA precursor is filed under the name Pristionchus pacificus. RNAcentral describes it as "microRNA ppc-mir-8257 precursor". The record is from miRBase by way of RNAcentral. Lineage: Eukaryota; Metazoa; Nematoda; Chromadorea; Rhabditida; Neodiplogasteridae.